This 402-nucleotide ribosomal RNA is filed under the name uncultured bacterium. RNAcentral describes it as "bacterial SSU rRNA". It matches the Rfam family "Bacterial small subunit ribosomal RNA", at positions 355 to 774 of the family's 1533-position model. The record is from RNAcentral. RNAcentral also lists the same sequence under 1 other name.
UGGGGAAUUUUGCGCAAUGGGGGAAACCCUGACGCAGCAACGCCGCGUGCGGGACGACGGCCUUCGGGUUGUAAACCGCUUUCAGCAGGGAAGAAAUUCGACGGUACCUGCAGAAGAAGCUCCGGCUAACUACGUGCCAGCAGCCGCGGUAAUACGUAGGGAGCGAGCGUUAUCCGGAUUCAUUGGGCGUAAAGAGCGCGUAGGCGGCCUCUCAAGCGGGAUCUCUAAUCCGAGGGCUCAACCCCCGGCCGGAUCCCGAACUGGGAGGCUCGAGUUCGGUAGAGGCAGGCGGAAUUCCCGGUGUAGCGGUGGAAUGCGCAGAUAUCGGGAAGAACACCGAUGGCGAAGGCAGCCUGCUGGGCCGCAACUGACGCUGAGGCGCGAAAGCUAGGGGAGCGAACA